AGCAGUGUGGUGUAGCGGUAAGGCAUGGGGCUUGUAACCAAAAGGUUGCCGGUUCAAUUCCCCACUGGGG
This is a non-coding RNA of Megalops atlanticus (tarpon), 70 nucleotides long. NCBI's taxonomy places the organism in Eukaryota, Metazoa, Chordata, Actinopteri, Elopiformes, Megalopidae. The record is from the annotation of a GenBank genome assembly.